Molecule: ribosomal RNA, 492 nt
Filed under: uncultured bacterium
Lineage: Bacteria
Description: partial 16S ribosomal RNA
Rfam family: Bacterial small subunit ribosomal RNA
Source: RNAcentral
AGUGAACGCUGGCGGUAGGCCUAACACAUGCAAGUCGAACGGCAGCACAGUAAGAUCUUGCUCUUACGGGUGGCGAGUGGCGUACGGGUGAGGAAUACAUCGGAAUCUACUUUUUCGUGGGGGAUAACGUAGGUAAACUUACGCUAAUACCGCAUACGACCUACGGGUGUAAGCAUUGGAUCUUCUGACCUUGCGCGAAUGGAUGAGCCGAUGUCGGAUUAGCUAGUUGGCGGGGUAAUGGCCCACCAAGGCGACGAUCCGUAGCUGGUCUGAGAGGAUGAUGAGCAACACUGGAAGUGAGCCACGGACAAGGCUCCUACGGGAGGCAGCAGUGGGGAAUAUUGGACAAAGGGCGCAAGCCUGAUCCAGCGAUACCGAGUGGGUGAAGAAGGCCUUCGGGUUGUAAAGCCCUUUUGUUGGGAAAGAAAAGCAGCAGGUUAAUACGACGCUGUACUGACGGUACUCGAAGAAUAAGCACCGGCUAACUUCGUG